GCAGUCGUGGCCGAGUGGUUAAGGCGAUGGACUUGAAAUCCAUUGGGGAUCCCCCCGCGAGUCGUUCGAAUCCUGUCGACUGCG
Non-coding RNA from Ornithodoros turicata, 84 nucleotides. The record is from the annotation of a RefSeq genome assembly. NCBI's taxonomy places the organism in Eukaryota, Metazoa, Arthropoda, Arachnida, Ixodida, Argasidae.